Heterocephalus glaber (naked mole-rat) is the source of this 508-nucleotide non-coding RNA. NCBI's taxonomy places the organism in Eukaryota, Metazoa, Chordata, Mammalia, Rodentia, Bathyergidae. The record is from RefSeq and is a predicted model, not a curated record.
GCGCAGGGCUGGCAGGGGACGGCGGGUCCGCGCUCCGCCUGAGGGAGGGAGGGACGGAAGGCGCUGCUGGCCUGGCUCUAGGGUGACAGGUGCUCGCCUCGGCUGGGCAGGCGGCCUGAACCACGCGCGGCUGCCCGCUGCUCUGCGCCUGCGCAAGUCUUCCCGCUCCUGCCUGCCUGCCAGAGUGCUGAAGGUUUUAGUCCUUGGCCAAGAAAGGAGUCAUACUACAUUUUUAAAGAGAAUUUGGAAGUUGGACUUUUCAAGUACCAGGGAUCAAACUCGGGACCUUGGGCUUGCGAGGCAGGCAGCAGAACCACUGAGCUAAAUCCCCGGCACAUGCAUGGACCAUAUUUCUUGAACUAUGUUUCUUCCACUUGAAGACUCCUUAACAGGGAAGCUGGAGAGCGAAGCCUUUGUCUGUUUAUCAAGCCAGACUUCCCCACUUCCAUGAUGGUGAGUCAGGUUCAGACAGGCCUUCUAUUGGAGGGGAUUCCAGGCUAGCCACAAC